UUAAAUAAUUUAGUUUUUCCAAAUUGAUUUUCAUUUAGAUCUAAUUUGUAUACAUUAAUUUUGUUUUUUAAAAAAGAACAAAAAAGUGUGAGAAUUAUUUUCAUUGACGUCAAAAAUAUGUGACGUCAUUGAUUAGACGCGUCAUAGAAAUAGUUCUAUGAGGCGCGUAAUCUCGCUUGGGCGAGAUUUGGUAAGUUGACAUGCGCAUUGCCUGUUUUGCCCAGUGUAUCCGGUUCCUGUCUGAAUUUUUUUUUAAUCAACAGUCUGUGGGUGACAAUUUCAGUUACGCUCCUGUGUUACCGGAAAAGAGCUUUGCUCAACCACCGCGCUUCGCGCGAUGCUGUAGAGCUUCGCUCUAUAUUAUUGAUAUAAAAAAAAUGUCAUAAAUAAUGCAACAGGGAGAGUUGUAAAAUGACGAAGAACUGGAAGCGACGACGUCGACUGGCUGCCAGCACAGUACAAUUUACAAACUGCGCACUGUCUUUAUAAACAGACCAAUAAUACAAAAGCCAUUGUAUUUAAUUUUAUGAAGAACUUUCAUUUGAUGUGAACAAGGAAUUUCAAACAUGGAAGAAGGACAAUAAAAUAUAGUUCCUAAAUAACCACCCGCACUGAGUGUUGAUUCAUCCCUAAAUCCUAACUUUAAAAUAGUUGUUGCACUGAAUGAAAAGCAGGCUGUUAUGCGAGUGCCUGAAAGACUUUGAAAUAUAUUAUAUAUUUCUUGUGAAAAAUUGGAAUAGACUCAGCUAUCAACUGACUGUACAUUAUACACUUUCAGUUACACAUUCUAUUUUUUGGAAAUAAUUUUAAUAAAUAUAAUGAAUGAAAUCAUUGGAUUAUUGUGAAUAUUUUGAAAAUGUACUAGGGAUAGAGACUGUCUAUCUUGUCCACUCAAUGAAAUUAUGAAUUCUCCUCAAUGUGUUUAAAGUCAAUUUCUAUUCAAUUCAUAAGAUAUGCAGGGUCUUGUGUGUACUGGUACAGGUGUAUUCAGUAAACUGUAAAAUUUACCCACUCCCUCCUCUAUGAUUACAUAAAACCAUUUAUUGUAACUUUGACACACGGAUCACAAUUUACAAUAGGGUGAAUGAAAAUAUGCAUAAAUCUGGUAACUUUUCUCUCUGAUCAAAUGUGUGAAAUUGUCAUAAAUUUAUACAAAUUUAAGGUUCAAUGUGAAUGCAACUAUGGUAUAUUUUCUUGGGUAAAUUUUCGAGAUCCUAAAAACAUUAGCUUCACACAGUGUCACUUCACUAUAAGCAUAGUUCAGAAUAGUAAUGUCUUUACAAUUUGUGGGUCUCUAUUAUAUUGCAAAUACACAUAUUAUAAACGUUUAAAUCCACAACUUUUCAUAUUUCAAAUUUAUUAUUUCCUUUUAAUAAAAAAAAAAUUAUUUCA
Patella vulgata (common limpet) is the source of this 1392-nucleotide long non-coding RNA. RefSeq lists it as uncharacterized. NCBI's taxonomy places the organism in Eukaryota, Metazoa, Mollusca, Gastropoda, Patellidae. The transcript is spliced from 2 exons. The record is from RefSeq and is a predicted model, not a curated record.